Nerophis ophidion (straightnose pipefish) is the source of this 980-nucleotide long non-coding RNA. RefSeq lists it as uncharacterized. The record is from RefSeq and is a predicted model, not a curated record. Lineage: Eukaryota; Metazoa; Chordata; Actinopteri; Syngnathiformes; Syngnathidae. The transcript has 3 exons.
UAAUAUUGUGUGUAUUCAUUAUUUUGUUUUAUAGAGGAUUCGCCGGAAGAGACCAACGCGAUCCCUUUAACCCAAUCGCAGUCUGAUUUUCCGUUUACAUCUCUUGCUCACUGGUCUCCCUUAACGCUGGAGGGUCCGUCAACGGCCAUUCCAGGCAGAGGAGAAGGCUUGAUUGCGCCAAAGACUCCAGACAUCGAAUCCUUGCUCCGUGGGGAAAUCAUCGAAAACGACGGUGAAUGUCCAACAGGCACCCGCUAUUGGUAGCACUGGACAAGUCGGAUAUCCUUGCUUGGAUCCUUUUAAAGUUGCCCGAUAAACUGCUGAGAGUUGAUCUCUCCUCUUGUCCAAAGGUUUUUCGUUCAUUUUUACUUGUAAUACUGCCACUAGGGUUGAUGUAGUAGCUCCACAACAUAACCUUAAAGCCUGUGACUGGAUCCGGUCUAUUUUCCCAAGUCAUGUUUUUGAAGCAGAUUGGUAAAUAAUGCAUCCGUAAUCAAUAACAGAUGGAAUUAAAGUUAUAAAUAUAUACAUGUAUUGUUUUCAACGUUAACCUAUCAGCCCCCCAAUCAUUACCCCUCAAAGACCUCAUUAUAUUUAACACCUUUUUACUUUUUACCCUAUUUUUUUAUUUUCCGGAAGGAACACUCCUGAAGGAAUAAAUAAAGUACUAUCUAAUCUAAUCUAAUCAAAUCUAUUUUGCUGAUGUGGGUUGACUAGUUCAUAUUUUUAUCAAACCAUAUUCCUAAAUAUUUAAAUACUUGUACCUCUUCUAUAUUUUCACCUUAGAGUUUUUAUUUGGAGCUUGUUUGGUACUUUUGUCUUUGUAAAAUGUAUGACUUUUGUCUUUCCAACAGAGAAUCUUAAACCUCAAGCCGUUCCCCAGUCUUGAACAUUAUUUACCACUUUGUUAGUUUUUUGAUUAUUUCUUUUGACUCUAAAUAAUAUACUAGUCUUUCAUUAAUCUUUUUUUUUUUUCCAUU